GUCUAUGGCCAUACCACCCUGAACGCGCCCAGAUGUGCCCCAUCUCAUCUGAUCUUAGAAGCUAAGCAGGGGUGGGCCUGGUUAGUACUUGGAUGGGAAAAUAGAGAAGGAAAAAACAAUCUAUCAACA
Molecule: ribosomal RNA, 129 nt
Filed under: Chinchilla lanigera (long-tailed chinchilla)
Lineage: Eukaryota; Metazoa; Chordata; Mammalia; Rodentia; Chinchillidae
Source: RNAcentral